Molecule: transfer RNA, 69 nt
Organism: Ovis aries (sheep)
Lineage: Eukaryota; Metazoa; Chordata; Mammalia; Artiodactyla; Bovidae
Rfam family: tRNA
About the family: Transfer RNA (tRNA) molecules are approximately 80 nucleotides in length. Their secondary structure includes four short double-helical elements and three loops (D, anti-codon, and T loops). Further hydrogen bonds mediate the characteristic L-shaped molecular structure. tRNAs have two regions of fundamental functional importance: the anti-codon, which is responsible for specific mRNA codon recognition, and the 3' end, to which the tRNAs corresponding amino acid is attached (by aminoacyl-tRNA synthetases). tRNAs cope with the degeneracy of the genetic code in two manners: having more than one tRNA (with a specific anti-codon) for a particular amino acid; and 'wobble' base-pairing, i.e. permitting non-standard base-pairing at the 3rd anti-codon position.
Source: Rfam
CCUGGUGGCUCAGAUGGUAAAGAAUCUGCCUGCAAUGCAGAAGACCCAGGUUCAAUCCCUGGGUCAGGA